RNAcentral lists this RNase P RNA (380 nucleotides) under Actinomycetota bacterium. RNAcentral's name for it is "RNase P RNA component class A". It matches the Rfam family "Bacterial RNase P class A". From Rfam's summary of the family: Ribonuclease P (RNase P) is a ubiquitous endoribonuclease, found in archaea, bacteria and eukarya as well as chloroplasts and mitochondria. The record is from RNAcentral. Lineage: Bacteria; Bacillati; Actinomycetota.
GGAGUCGGCCGGGCGGCCGCGGGCUUCGGCUCGAGGAAAGUCCGGACUCCGCAGGGCAGGGUGCCGGUGAGAACCGGGCGGGGGCGACCUCGCGGACAGCGCAACAGAAAACAGACCGCCGGCGCUUCGGCGUCGGUAAGGGUGAAACGGUGAGGUAAGAGCUCACCAGCGUGUCGGGCAACCGGCGCGGCUCGGCAAGCCCCACCCGGAGCAAGGUCAAGCAGGCAGCGUCUGAGGGCGGCCCGCCCGAGCUGCCGGGUAGACCGCACCGAGCCGGUGAACGGCCCGGCGGCGAGCGCUUCGGCGUCCGCCGAGAGAGAUGGUCGCCGGCGGGGCGCAGGCCCCGCGCACAGGAUCCGGCUUACAGGCCGACUCCUCCG